UGACUCUGGUUUCUCUUCAUUACGCACAAGCCUUUCGCCUUUUACUAAAGACUUCGUGGAGAGGAACACUUACGAGUUCCACUAUUUUUGGAGCGGCUUUGCUUCUUGCAGAGCC
RNAcentral lists this small nuclear RNA (115 nucleotides) under Oncorhynchus mykiss (rainbow trout). Its description in RNAcentral is "U5 spliceosomal RNA (ENSOMYG00000072087.1)". It matches the Rfam family "U5 spliceosomal RNA". Rfam says of the family: U5 RNA is a component of both types of known spliceosome. The precise function of this molecule is unknown, though it is known that the 5' loop is required for splice site selection and p220 binding, and that both the 3' stem-loop and the Sm site are important for Sm protein binding and cap methylation. Lineage: Eukaryota; Metazoa; Chordata; Actinopteri; Salmoniformes; Salmonidae. The record is from RNAcentral.